This 293-nucleotide ribosomal RNA is filed under the name uncultured bacterium. RNAcentral's name for it is "partial 16S ribosomal RNA". It matches the Rfam family "Archaeal small subunit ribosomal RNA", at positions 455 to 747 of the family's 1478-position model. The record is from RNAcentral.
GUGCCAGCCGCCGCGGUAAUACCGGCAGCUCAAGUGAUGUCCCAUAUUAUUGGGCCUAAAGCGUCCGUAGCUGGCCGACCAAGUCUCCCGGGAAAUCCACCCGCCCAACGGGUGGGCGUCCGGUGGAAACUGCGUGGCUUGGGACCGGAAGGCGCGACGGGUACGUCCGGGGUAGGAGUGAAAUCCCAUAAUCCCGCACGGACCACCGAUGGCGAAAGCACUUCGAGAAAACGGAUCCGACAGUGAGGGACGAAAGCCAGGGUCUCCAACCGGAUUAGAUACCCGGGUAGUCC